RNAcentral lists this ribosomal RNA (305 nucleotides) under uncultured bacterium. RNAcentral's name for it is "bacterial SSU rRNA". It matches the Rfam family "Bacterial small subunit ribosomal RNA", at positions 337 to 658 of the family's 1533-position model. The record is from RNAcentral.
UCCUACGGGAGGCAGCAGUGGGGAAUAUUGCACAAUGGGGGGAACCCUGAUGCAGCGAUGCCGCGUGAAGGAAGAAGAUUUUCGGAUCGUAAACUUCUAUCCGCGAGGAAGAAAAAGGACAGUACUUGACUAAGCAGCCCCGGCUAACUACGCGCCAGCAGCCGCGGUAAUACGUAGGGGGCAAGCGUUAUCCGGAUUUACUGGGUGUAAAGGGAGCGUAGACGGCAGUGCAAGUCUGAAGUGAAAGGCAAGGGCUCAACCCUUGGACUGCUUUGGAAACUGUGCUGCUCGAGUGUCGGCGAGGC